UGGGGAAUUUUACGCAAUGGGCGAAAGCCUGACGUAGCGACACCGCGUGAGCGAAGAAGCCCUUUGGGGUGUAAAGCUCUGUCGGCUGGAACGAAAAAAUGACGGUACCAGCAAAGGAAGCAUCGGCUAACUACGUGCCAGCAGCCGCGGUAAGACGUAGGAUGCGAGCGUUGUCCGGAUUUAUUGGGCGUAAAGAGUUCGUAGGUGGCUUGUCAAGUUUGAUGUUAAAGAUCGGGGCUCAACCCUGGGA
RNAcentral lists this ribosomal RNA (250 nucleotides) under uncultured bacterium. RNAcentral describes it as "partial 16S ribosomal RNA". It matches the Rfam family "Bacterial small subunit ribosomal RNA", at positions 355 to 620 of the family's 1533-position model. The record is from RNAcentral.